Molecule: ribosomal RNA, 190 nt
Filed under: Pangshura tecta (Indian roofed turtle)
Lineage: Eukaryota; Metazoa; Chordata; Testudines; Geoemydidae
Description: partial 12S ribosomal RNA
Source: RNAcentral
UCCUCAUGAACGUACGUCAUACUUCCUAAAACCCCUGCUCCCCAGAACACUACCACCCACUACUUAAAACUAAAACUACCUGGCGCUCCUUCAUAUCCCUCUAAAGCAGCCUGUUCUGUAAUACAUAAACCCCUAUUAACCUCACCUCCUCUUGCUCACCCUAUAUACCGCCCUCUUCAGCAAACAAAAA